RNAcentral lists this transfer RNA (63 nucleotides) under Pupa strigosa. Its description in RNAcentral is "tRNA-Cys". Lineage: Eukaryota; Metazoa; Mollusca; Gastropoda; Acteonidae. The record is from RNAcentral.
GAAGUUGUAGUUUAGUGGAAAACGUGAGGUUGCAAGCCUUGAAUCGAGCAUACUCCAACUUAU